AGGAUUAACGCUGGCGGCGUGCCUAACACAUGCAAGUCGAACGAGGGGGGCAACCCCCGAGUGGCAGACGGGUGAGUAACGCGUGGUCAACCUACCCUAGAGUGGGGAAUAACUAGCCGAAAGGUUAGCUAAUACCGCAUGAUACGUUUUGGGACAUCCCAGGACGUUGAAAGGAGCAAUCCGCUCGAGGACGGGACCGCGUCCGAUUAGCUAGUUGGUGAGGUAACGGCCCACCAAGGCUCCGAUCGGUAGCUGGUUUGAGAGAGCGACCAGCCACACUGGGACUGAGAAACGGCCCAGACUCCUACGGGAGGCAGCAGUGAGGAUUUUCCGCAAUGGGCGAAAGCCUGACGGAGCGACGCCGCGUGUGGGAAGAAGGCCUUCGGGUCGUAACCACUGUCGAAGGGGACUAUACUGAAGGUACCCUUGGAGGAGCCCGGCUAACUACGCGCCAGCAGCCGC
RNAcentral lists this ribosomal RNA (462 nucleotides) under uncultured bacterium. RNAcentral's name for it is "SSU rRNA". It matches the Rfam family "Bacterial small subunit ribosomal RNA", at positions 26 to 518 of the family's 1533-position model. The record is from RNAcentral.